UGCGUAGGCGGUGCUCUAAGUCGGAUGUGAAAACUCUGGGCUCAACCCAGAGCCUGCAUCCGAAACUGGAGUGCUAGAGUUCUGGAGGGGGUAGCGGAAUUCCUGGUGUAGCGGUGAAAUGCGUAGAUAUCAGGAGGAACACCGGUGGCGAAGGCGGCUACCUGGACAGAAACUGACGCUGAAGCACGAAAGCUAGGGGAGCAAACA
Molecule: ribosomal RNA, 207 nt
Filed under: uncultured bacterium
Lineage: Bacteria
Description: partial 16S ribosomal RNA
Rfam family: Bacterial small subunit ribosomal RNA
Source: RNAcentral